RNAcentral lists this long non-coding RNA (546 nucleotides) under Cyanistes caeruleus (blue tit). RNAcentral describes it as "lncRNA (ENSCCEG00000011354.1)". Lineage: Eukaryota; Metazoa; Chordata; Aves; Passeriformes; Paridae. The record is from RNAcentral.
CUUUUCCCCCAGGGCAUCACCCGGUACCCGCAAGCCUCGGUGUCCCCCACGGGCUCUGUGCUCAGCAGCUCCUUGCGCUUGUGCUCAGGGCUCUUUGCUCGGCCUGAGGCUCGGCAGCGUGAACCGAGCCUGCAGGUGCCAAGACCUCAUCGCUAAUGACCCCGAAACAGCCUGUGGUGGGACAUUGGCUCUCCAGGAUGGUGGGACAAGGAGAGGGUUGAAGAUCAGUUCAUGGCUUGCGGCAUGAACUGGGAACUGCAGCAGUGACUGGGAACUGGAUCAAGAGACAGACAGUAGUGCCCACUACACAUCAUCAGAGUGAAGCAGCAAACAAGUGAGAAUGUCUUAAGGGACUCAUUAAAAGAAUGUCUCAUUGAAGAAAUGACUGAGGACAUUUGGCAUCAAAAUAAUUCAUCUUUUUCUCCAAACAUUUUAGGUCUUCAGGAUGAGGGCAGUAUGCACACCUAAAGUGGGAGUAACUCCGUAGGAGUUAUGUACAGACAUUCUGUAAAUAAACAUAGAAAAUUACUCUAGAUCUGUAUCUUC